CUUUGAGAACAAAAAGUAGGAUGAAUUUCUUGCUUCCUUCCGUUUCAGCGUCAUCCGAUCUUGUUCAGCAAUUUGAAAACUGAAGGAAUUGAUCGGGUCAAGGGAAUUUAUCCGCUCCCUAGCCUCCAAUCGAUUUCCUACCUUCGUCGUAAUCUUUCCCACGCUAAGCAUACUACUCCCGGGCAAGGUCAUAAGAACCUUUGUGAAUCCAUCCCACGAAAAAUCUGCCUCUAUGAUCCACACCAAACACACGAGUUGAAUGUUCUCCUUUAUUUAUUUAAUCAUGCCGCAUAUCCUUAUAAGCUCAGCUUGGCCCCGGUCCCCCUUUCCAAGGCUCUCCCGUUUAAUUAGUGCCGCUACCUCCUCGGAGCGAUCAUCUCUCGUC
Molecule: long non-coding RNA, 385 nt
Filed under: Theobroma cacao (cacao)
Lineage: Eukaryota; Viridiplantae; Streptophyta; Magnoliopsida; Malvales; Malvaceae
Description: long non-coding RNA (TCAC_LNC001027)
Source: RNAcentral